CCGUACCAACAAAUGAUGUCAUUUGAUAACAAUUUCCCACCACCGUCGACUGGUGGCGACCGACGUCUCUCAACUCUCCUCCACUCUCCACUCUCCAGUCCUCCAGUCGCCUUCCAGCAAUCAGCUCGUCAGUCGUCGCAACAGCCGUCAGCCAGUCGUGCCGCUCGUCAGUCGUCACCGGCCGAGAACGAAACGACAAACUCAAAUUUAUUCGAUUUUGCCGUCAGGUCAAACAAAUCGACGUCGUCGAAAAAAACCACUACGAUGACCACCGCUCCGGCCAAGCUUUACGGCAAGAACCUGAGCGAUUAUGACGAGCUCGACGUUGACCAACUUCUCUCUCAAUUGUCACCCGAAGAAAUCAGCAUUUUGGCCAAAGAAGUCGAUCCAGAUGACAACUUAUUACCACCAUCAGAGCGUUGUAGUUAUGAAUGUAACAAAGAAGCCACAGGACCAUUAAACAGAAAAAAACUGAUUGAACAUAUUAACAAACAGGCUCUAGAAACGCCUGAUCUACCAGAAAUUAAACCAUAUGUUGCUGGAACUGUACGAGGGAAAAAGUGGGUGGCACCUGAAACCAAUGGUAACACUGAACAUGAAGAUAAAAUUGCCAUUGAUAUUGAUGAUGAAUAUGGUGAUGCAUUAAAUACCGCAUCACAAGAAGAAAUCAUAGAUUUGGCUGCUAUACUGGGAUUCCAUUCAAUGAUGAACCAAGAUCAAUACCAUGCUUCACUAUUAAAUAAAGGUCAGCCAAUUGGCUUAGGAUGGGACGGUGUUACCAAGGCAACACAGCCUAAGGUUUAUCCACCAGAGCCACCCAAUCAAACAGAUCCAGAAGACAGUAUUAAACGGGUACGUGAUGAUGAUUCGAAGCUACUUGAUCUCAAUUGGAACAACAUUAAAAAUAUUUCUGAUGAAAAGUUUGAGAAUCUAUUCAAUGCUUUAGUGGAAAAUACUCAUUUAGAAACAUUAAGUUUGGUAAAUGUUGGACUUACUGAUCGGUUAGCAGACAAGCUUGCUGAAGCAUUAGAAAAAAAUUGCACAUUACGCGUUUGCAAUGUGGAAACAAAUUUCAUUAGCCCUGUAGGAAUAAUUCAUUUAGUCAAGUCCUUAUUGAAACAGAGAUCUUUAGAAGAAUUCCGUGCCACCAACCAGAGAUCCCAAGUAUUGGGAAAUAAGAUAGAAAUGGAACUUACCAAAUUGAUUGAACAAAAUCCAACCAUUCUUAGACUCGGUUUGCAUUUGGAGUACAAUGAUGCUCGUCAUCGCAUUGCAUCACAUUUACAACGCAAUAUUGACAGGAUAAGAAAAGACACGCCGUUGAAAAUGAAAUUUAGGUUCUUUAGAAAAACACCCCAGAAGCACCGCAAGAACUUGAUCAAAUAAAUGAUCGGCGGAUUACAUUAUUGAGUACGUCAGAGCCGUGUGGGCGCAAACUCCGCAUAAAUUACAUAUUUUGGCUACGUACACUAUUUAGGCCGCUUACGCAGAACUGGUCACUUUGCGCGUACGUACACUGGCGGUUGGGUUGUACACAAAAAGGCUAAAUAAUUACGAGUUUGUGCCUAGACCUUGGUCCUAGACUCUUAUUUUUUAAGUAUUUAAUUAUAUACUAUAUUUAUAUAAUGUAUUGUUUUUUUUUCUCCUCAUUAAUUGUUCAAACAAUUUGUAUAUAUAUUUAUGUUGCGGUCUUAUGCUGGCCUUUUCAUAUGCGUUUAGUUAUUAGUGCAUGUGUGUGACAAUUGUAUUGAUUUGAAUUUUUAAACAUAAAAUUGUAUUUAUUAAUAUAAUUGAGUUAAACAAAUUUAUUAUAUAAAAAGAAAUUUUAUUUUGUUAAACUGCACAAUUUUUUUUGUGCGUAUUGUUUUAAAAAAAUGAUAUAUUUUUUACUAUUGAGUUGUUCAUACAAAAUUAAGUAGUACCUAGAAAGACUAAUUAAAACAAAUAGUAUAACCAUAUUUUGAUUUUGUAUUGCUAAACAUUUAUAGUUAUUUUAUUAAGGUUAUUAUGUAUUUUUACACUGAUACUAUUUCACUUUUAAUUGCAUGAAAUGCCUUUAAUUGUAAACAAUUUUACUACACCAAAUUUUGCCAUACUAUUUUUAUAAACUGAUUAUUUUGUAUUAAUGUUGCUGUAGUGUUGCAACAACAUUAUUAUAAUGCGCUGAUCACUUAUUAUAUUCACUUAAAAUAUAUAGUAAUGUAUAACG
RNA transcript from Acyrthosiphon pisum (pea aphid), 2209 nucleotides. It is a transcript of the gene named tropomodulin, with no coding region annotated. The transcript has 11 exons. NCBI's taxonomy places the organism in Eukaryota, Metazoa, Arthropoda, Insecta, Hemiptera, Aphididae. The record is from RefSeq and is a predicted model, not a curated record.